GUGCUCGCUUCAGCAGCACAUAUACUAAACUUGGAACGAUACAAGGAAGAUUAGCAUGGCCCCUGCACAAGGAUGACAUGCAAAUUCGUGAAGUGUUACAUAUUUUA
This 107-nucleotide small nuclear RNA is filed under the name Suricata suricatta (meerkat). The record is from RNAcentral. Lineage: Eukaryota; Metazoa; Chordata; Mammalia; Carnivora; Herpestidae.